This is a small nuclear RNA of Leucoraja erinaceus (little skate), 102 nucleotides long. NCBI's taxonomy places the organism in Eukaryota, Metazoa, Chordata, Chondrichthyes, Rajiformes, Rajidae. The record is from RefSeq and is a predicted model, not a curated record.
ACUUGAUCUAGAAUUGAUACUAAAAUUGGAACAAUACAGAAAAGAUUAGCCUGGUCCCCGAGCAAGAAUGAUAUGAAAAUUUGUGAAGUGUUCCAUAUUUUU